GGGCAUUCAGAAAACUUGCACUCUGGGCUACACACUGAGAACCCGUUUCUCUACACCCGCCCAGGGGAAAGUCCCCGGACACGUGGCAGAAAGUGCCGCUGGUGAGAACCAGCGUUGACCGUCGCGCCGCCGUCAUGAAGCUAAGACGUUCUCCCGAACCGAGCUCGGUGGUCGCCGGUCGACCUUGUCAGCGUUGAUAGAUAUGCAAGUAGGCUGCACGCAGCCGAACACAAUGGGGCUUAUUCUCCGAAUGCA
This is a ribozyme of Betta splendens (Siamese fighting fish), 255 nucleotides long. It matches the Rfam family "RNase MRP". From Rfam's summary of the family: RNase MRP is an enzymatically active ribonucleoprotein with two distinct roles in eukaryotes. In mitochondria it plays a direct role in the initiation of mitochondrial DNA replication. In the nucleus it is involved in precursor rRNA processing, where it cleaves the internal transcribed spacer 1 between 18S and 5.8S rRNAs. Lineage: Eukaryota; Metazoa; Chordata; Actinopteri; Anabantiformes; Osphronemidae. The record is from Ensembl.